AGUGAACGCUGGCGGUAGGCCUAACACAUGCAAGUCGAACGGCAGCACGGUAAGAGCUUGCUCUUACGGGUCGCGAGUGGCGGACGGGUGAGGAAUACAUCGGAAUCUACUUUUUCGUGGGGGAUAACGUAGGGAAACUUACGCUAAUACCGCAUACGACCUACGGGUGAAAGCAGGGGAUCUUCGGACCUUGCGCGAUUGAAUGAGCCGAUGUCGGAUUAGCUAGUUGGCGGGGUAAAGGCCCACCAAGGCGACGAUCCGUAGCAGGUCUGAGAGGAUGAUCAGCCACACUGGAACUGAGACACGGUCCAGACUCCUACGGGAGGCAGCAGUGGGGAAUAUUGGACAAUGGGCGCAAGCCUGAUCCAGCCAUACCGCGUGGGUGAAGAAGGCCUUCGGGUUGUAAAGCCCUUUUGUUGGGAAAGAAAAGCAGCAGGUUAAUACCCCGCUGUUCUGACGGUACCCAAAGAAUAAGCACCGGCUAACUUCGUG
Molecule: ribosomal RNA, 492 nt
Filed under: uncultured bacterium
Lineage: Bacteria
Description: partial 16S ribosomal RNA
Rfam family: Bacterial small subunit ribosomal RNA
Source: RNAcentral